GGCUCAGAACGAACGCUGGUAGCGUGGAUUAGGCAUGCAAGUCGAACGGGAUCCGCGAGGUAGCAAUACUGAGCGGUGAGAGUGGCGGAUGGGGAGGAACACGUGAGCAACCUGUCCUUGAGUCGGGGAAAACCGCGGGAAACUGCGGCUAAUACCGGAUGUGGCGUCCGACGACAUCGUCGGAGCGCUAAAGGGGGCCCGCAAGGGCUCUCGCUCUUCGAGGGGCUCGCGCACCAUCAGCUUGUUGGCGGGGUAACGGCCCACCAAGGCCUACGGUCAGCUGGUCUGAGAGGAUGACCAGCCCCACUGGGACUGAGAUACUGCCCAGACUCCUACGGGAGGCUGCAGUCGAGGAUCAUUUGCAAUGGGCGAAAGCCUGACAAUGCGACGCUGCCGUGGAGGAUGAAGGCCUUCGGGUUGUAAACUCCUGUCAUAUGGGAACAGGCGAGGGGACCCAACACGUCCCUUAGUUGAGUGUACCUUAAGAGGAAUGGGCGGCUAACUCUGUGCCAGCCGCCGC
This 520-nucleotide ribosomal RNA is filed under the name uncultured bacterium. RNAcentral's name for it is "bacterial SSU rRNA". It matches the Rfam family "Bacterial small subunit ribosomal RNA", at positions 21 to 518 of the family's 1533-position model. The record is from RNAcentral.